CCGCAAUAAACCGUCCGUGACGAAUCAAUAAUGCUAAGUGUUUGAAGUUGGCUAGCAAUAGCUGAUGGAGCGCACGACCCAAGUUGGUAGUAGUCAAGCAAUGGAGAGACGCAGGAAGGUAGUCCAACCCAGGCGAUGGUUGACCUGGGGUAAGAGUGUAGGAGGUUCUGUAGGCAAAUCCGCAGAACAAUCUCUGAGACUUAAUGCCGAGCCGUAAGGCGAAGUGGAUGAUCCUAUGCUGCCAAGAAAAUCUUCUAGCGAGGUUUGUAGCGGCCCGUACCCGAAACCGACUCAGGUGGUCAGGUAGAGAAUACCAAGGUGAUCGAGAGAAUCGUGGUUAAGGAACUCGGCAAAAUGCCCCCGUAACUUCGGGAGAAGGGGGGCCCUUCGACGUGUAGGAAUUUACUUCCGAAGCGUUGGAAGGCCGCAGAGACCAGGCUCAAGCGACUGUUUACCAAAAACACAGGUCCGUGCGAAGUAGCAAUACGAUGUAUACGGACUGACGCCUGCCCGGUGCUGGAAGGUUAAGGGGACUGGUUAGCCGCAAGGCGAAGCUGAGAACUUAAGCCCCAGUAAACGGCGGUGGUAACUAUAACCAUCCUAAGGUAGCGAAAUUCCUUGUCGGGUAAGUUCCGACCUGCACGAAUGGCGUAACGACUUGAGCGCUGUCUCAUCCGUGAACUCGGCGAAAUUGCAUUACGAGUAAAGAUGCUCGUUACGCGCAGAAAGACGGAAAGACCCCGGGACCUUUACUAUAUCUUGAUAUUGGUACUCGGAACGUUCUGUGUAGCAUAGGUGGGAGACUUUGAAGCGGCACGCCAGUGUUCGUGGAGUCAAAAAAUGAAAUACCACUCUGAACGUUUUGAGUUUCUAACCUCGGCCCAUUAUCUGGGUCAGGGACAGUGUCUGGUGGGUAGUUUAACUGGGGCGGUUGCCUCCUAAAAAGUAACGGAGGCGCCCAAAGGUUCCCUCAGCCUGGUUGGCAAUCAGGUGUCGAGUGCAAGUGCACAAGGGAGCUUGACUGUGAGACAGACAUGUCGAGCAGGGACGAAAGUCGGAACUAGUGAUCCGGCGGUGGCAUGUGGAAGCGCCGUCGCUCAACGGAUAAAAGGUACCCCGGGGAUAACAGGCUGAUCUUCCCCAAGAGUCCAUAUCGACGGGAUGGUUUGGCACCUCGAUGUCGGCUCGUCGCAUCCUGGGGCUGGAGUAGGUCCCAAGGGUUGGGCUGUUCGCCCAUUAAAGCGGUACGCGAGCUGGGUUUAGAACGUCGUGAGACAGUUCGGUCCCUAUCCGCCACGCGCGCAGGAGUCUUGAGGAGGGCUAUCCCUAGUACGAGAGGACCGGGAUGGACGAACCUCUGGUGUGUCAGUUGUCCUGCCAAGGGCACGGCUGGUUGGCUACGUUCGGAAGUGAUAACCGCUGAAAGCAUCUAAGC
This 1435-nucleotide ribosomal RNA is filed under the name marine metagenome. Its description in RNAcentral is "bacterial LSU rRNA". It matches the Rfam family "Bacterial large subunit ribosomal RNA", at positions 1409 to 2786 of the family's 2925-position model. The record is from RNAcentral.